This 253-nucleotide ribosomal RNA is filed under the name uncultured bacterium. RNAcentral's name for it is "partial 16S ribosomal RNA". It matches the Rfam family "Bacterial small subunit ribosomal RNA", at positions 524 to 776 of the family's 1533-position model. The record is from RNAcentral.
UACGGGGGGGGCAAGCGUUGUUCGGAAUUACUGGGCGUAAAGGGCGCGUAGGCGGUUGGAUACGUCAGCUGUGAAAACCACGGGCUUAACUCGUGGCCUGCAGUUGAGACUGUCUGGCUUGAGUGCAGGAGAGGAAUGCGGAAUUCCAGGUGUAGCGGUGAAAUGCGUAGAUAUCUGGAGGAACACCGGUGGCGAAGGCGGCAUUCUGGACUGUAACUGAUACUGAGGAACGAAAGCCAGGGGAGCAAACGGG